Chelonia mydas (Green sea turtle) is the source of this 223-nucleotide long non-coding RNA. RefSeq lists it as uncharacterized. The transcript has 4 exons. Lineage: Eukaryota; Metazoa; Chordata; Testudines; Cheloniidae. The record is from RefSeq and is a predicted model, not a curated record.
AUUGUAUCCAUCACUGCUUUGAGCAGGUUUCAGGGGGGCCUCCAAGCAGGGCCAGCAUUAGACUCACUGGGGCCCAGGCAGAAAGCCGAAGCCCUGCCGCAAGGGAUUGAAGCCAGGGCCCUGAGUCCCACCACCCAAGGCUGAAGCUGAAGCCUGAGCAAUGUAGUUUUGCGGGGGCUCCUGUGGCAUGAGGCCACAGACAACUGCCCUGCUUGCUACCCCC